GUAACCGCUCCGUUGGCAUAUUGGUUAGUGCAUCCGCCUCACAUGCGGGAGGUCGCGGGUUCUAUCCCCUGUCGAGUUAUA
This is a non-coding RNA of Potamilus streckersoni, 81 nucleotides long. The record is from the annotation of a GenBank genome assembly. NCBI's taxonomy places the organism in Eukaryota, Metazoa, Mollusca, Bivalvia, Unionida, Unionidae.